AACUCAAUGAUAAUUGCUCCGUCUCUAAGCAGUUUGAAUCUAUAAAUAGAAUAACAAAAGGAAGGAAACGAAAUUUUAACCUGAUUUCCGCCAUUAAAAAAAGUAACAUGAAACCUACAGUUCACGACACAUCGCAUAGGAAUUUAAAAUAAAUAUUAGGCCUAUAGGUUUAAUACAUAUUGCAUAGAAUAUAGAAAUUUAGAUCUAGUGUUCUGGUUAGUAGUUAUUUCAUGUUUAUUAGAAUAUAGUCUAGAAUCUAAUCAUACGGCUGCAUAAAAAGAAAGUUUGAAGGAAAUAGAAUAGGAAUCUAGAGAAGCGGAGUGUUUUCCGCACUCGAGAGGAAAGAGGUUGCAGGGAACUUAGAGACUAAUCUUUGCCAACAUACUGGAUUUCUGGUGAUGACAAUAGCAGCAGAUAGUAUGCGGCUCAGUUAAUACUAAAAACAAUUGAUUUUACUAAUUAGUGGACUAUGAGUGUGUGUUUGGCCAUCCUGAUUUCAUAACUACAACUGAUGUUCAAUUACAAGUGAUAUUAAUCAGCCUCCGUGGACUAUACACUGUGCCUAGUUUCAUCCUCAGAGACUGAUGUGUAAGCUUAAAGUAAAGACAUCAAAUCAAAGUAUCAGCCAUCAAGAGGAAAAACAUUCAAAAUCAUAUUGUGAUACACAAGUCAAGCAAGUCUGACCAGCAUUUUGAUACAGGCCAAGAAAAAGCUGGAUACUUGAUUGGAGGGGUCGCACAAAAAACAUGGGUUAUCACUAGGGAAACAAGCUCGCAAUACAGUUCACUGUUAGGACAGCAAGCCAAAUACUUCUAAACUUAUUUGAAUCAUUUUUGCUGUUUAUUAUAAUUUAUCCAAUUGUCUUAUCAAAUAUAUAAAUUUAUAUAUAUACACAAUUCCUAAUAUAGAAUUUCUAAAAAUGUUUUAUUAUAAUAUUUAAAAAUGAAACAAACAUGUUCCCAGAACACAGCCAAAUAAUGUCAACAUGUUCCAUGAACUCACAAAAUGGCAACAUGUUCCCUGAACACACACAAUGGCAACAUGUUCCCAGAACACAGCCAAAUAAUGUCAACAUGUUCCAUGAACUCACAAAAUGGCAACAUGUUCCCAGAACACACAAAAUGUCAUUAUGUGCCCAGAACACACAAAAUGGCAACAUGUUCCCAGAACACACAAAAUGGCAACAUGUGCCGAGAACACAAAAAAUGACAACAUGUGCCGAGAACAAUGCCCCUUACAGAUGACAUGUUCCCAGAACACAGCCCGUAGUUGGUCUGCCAUAAAAAGUUAACAAUACUUUACUUUUUCCUUAACAAUUUUACAAGCAGGUAGUAAAGCCAUAAAUCUUUACUGUGGAUAUAGCCAAUAAAUAGGGUAACCUUCACUAUAUGCAAUUUGUAGUUUUCAAUGCCUGUCCCAUGCAUAUUAUUUAGCAUAUGGUUUUGGGCCUUGCUUCAUUUACUCAAUAAAUUAUAUAGACAUGAGAAUUUUCAUUUAAAUCUGCAAAAGCUACAUUCUGUACAUUAUUAUUUUCAAACUACAUCAUAUAUUUUUCUCUUCUCUGAUAAAAAAUAUUCCUCAUAUUGUUUGUGUCAAGUAUUUUAUUUUUAUCUAUGCAAUGCUAUAUUCUUAUUUUAUAAUAAUUACUUUUAUACAAAUUCUUUUGAAAACUGUUCUUUAUUGAUUUGUAUCAUUUUCUUUAUUUCUGAAAAAUAAAACUUUGUUUGGGAAUCC
Physella acuta is the source of this 1734-nucleotide long non-coding RNA. RefSeq lists it as uncharacterized. Lineage: Eukaryota; Metazoa; Mollusca; Gastropoda; Physidae. The record is from RefSeq and is a predicted model, not a curated record.